Molecule: ribosomal RNA, 465 nt
Filed under: uncultured bacterium
Lineage: Bacteria
Description: bacterial SSU rRNA
Rfam family: Bacterial small subunit ribosomal RNA
Source: RNAcentral
CCUACGGGCCGCACCAGUGGGGAAUAUUGCACAAUGGGCGCUAGCCUGAUGCAGCCAUGCCGCGUGUGUGAAGAAGGCCUUCGGGUUGUAAAGCACUUUCAGCGGGGAGGAAGGCGAUGAGGUUAAUAACCUUGUCGAUUGACGUUACCCGCAGAAGAAGCACCGGCUAACUCCGUGCCAGCAGCCGCGGUAAUACGGAGGGUGCAAGCGUUAAUCGGAAUUACUGGGCGUAAAGCGCACGCAGGCGGUCUGCCAAGUCGGAUGUGAGAUCCCCGGGCUCAACCUGGGAACUGCACUCGAAACUGGCAGGCUAGAGUCUUGUAGAGGGGGGUUGAAUUCCAGGUGUAGCGGUGAAAUGCGUAGAGAUCUGGAGGAAUACCGGUGGCGAAGGCGGCCCCCUGGACAAAGACUGACGCUCAGGUGCGAAAGCGUGGGGAGCAAACAGGAUUAGAUACCCGAGUAGUC